AUGGCACCAUUGCUGGCUUCAAGAGGGAUGAGACCAUAUGAAAGGAAUUCAGGCUAUCUCUGGAGCUGAGCACAACCCCCAGGUCACAUCCAACAAAGAAACAGGGACCUCAGUCCUAUAAACACCACCAACAGAAUGAACUUGGAAGCAGAUUUUCCCCCAGAGCAUCCAGAUAAGAACUCAGUCCACUCAACAUCUUCAGCUUUGUGAUAUUCCAGGCAUAUUGUGCUGAACUUCUGACUUACAGAACUAAUCCAGAAAGCCUGGAAGAUACUUUUCCAAGAAUUUAUUUUCUGUUUAGAUUCUACCCCUGAAAGUCAGUCCUGAAAGGAUUAUAAAAGCAAGAAAGAAACAUGGACUCUAAGAAUUAACAACAGUGUGGGAAGCCACGGAGGAGAUUUAUGACUACCCUAAAUUGGUUUGUGUUUGGAUGGUGAGUGCCUGAAAAUUGCUACUGAAUAUUUUGAUGAGAAAAUGAAUUAAGAUAAAUCUUUUUAACUUUCUGCUUUUGAUUAUCUUUUUUUUCUUAUCUUAGGAUGACUAUUUCCUGCUCUUUAUUACUAGAAAUUGGCAGCAACAUCUCAGAUUGGAUAAUGGUACUGGUGGAAUAAUUACCAGAAAGAAAAAAACAUCCCCACUAAAGUGAUGAAAACAUGUACAGAUUGUCCAACCUUUUGCUUUUGUACCACUUCCCCUUCCAGAUGUCAGGGUUGUGAUUUAUUUCUCCCUAAG
RNAcentral lists this long non-coding RNA (732 nucleotides) under Homo sapiens (human). RNAcentral's name for it is "HSALNT0321508". The record is from RNAcentral. Lineage: Eukaryota; Metazoa; Chordata; Mammalia; Primates; Hominidae.